Molecule: ribosomal RNA, 449 nt
Filed under: uncultured bacterium
Lineage: Bacteria
Description: partial 16S ribosomal RNA
Rfam family: Bacterial small subunit ribosomal RNA
Source: RNAcentral
CUCCAGACUCCUACGGGAGGCAGCAGUGGGGAAUAUUGGACAAUGGGGGGAACCCUGAUCCAGCGACGCCGCGUGAGUGAAGAAGUAUUUCGGUAUGUAAAGCUCUAUCAGCAGGGAAGAAAGAAAUGACGGUACCUGAGUAAGAAGCACCGGCUAAAUACGUGCCAGCAGCCGCGGUAAUACGUAUGGUGCAAGCGUUAUCCGGAUUUACUGGGUGUAAAGGGAGCGCAGGCGGCACGGCAAGCCUGAUGCGAAAGCCCGCGGCCCAACCGCGGGACUGCAUUGGGAACUACCGGGCUGGAGUGCCGGAGGGGCAGGCGGAAUUCCUGGUGUAGCGGUGAAAUGCGUAGAUAUCAGGAGGAACACCGGUGGCGAAGGCGGCCUGCUGGACUGCAACUGACGUUGAGGCCCGAAAGCGUGGGGAGCAAGCAGGAUUAGAUACCCUAGUA